This 2358-nucleotide ribosomal RNA is filed under the name Triticum aestivum (bread wheat). RNAcentral's name for it is "partial small subunit ribosomal RNA". Lineage: Eukaryota; Viridiplantae; Streptophyta; Magnoliopsida; Poales; Poaceae. The record is from RNAcentral.
AUGGCUGACCUGACCCUAUCUGCGGUCGACUCGCUGGUGGGCCUGCUGGUGACGGCGGUCACAGAGGAGGCGAAGCUGCUGGGCGGCCUGCAGGGUGAUAUGCAGUUCAUCAAGGAUGAGAUGGAGAGCAUCAACGUCUUCCUCAUCGACCUCACCAAGACGGAGGGCAAGCACGACGACCAGCUCCGCGCCUGGAUGAAGCAGGUCCGUGAUAUCUCCUACAUCGCCCAGGACUGCAUCGAGCUCUACAAACGCGACUUCAAGGGCCCGUCUAGCGGCGGCCUCUUGGCCCGCUUCUACUACCGCGUGGUGCUCCUCGUGACGGGUCGACAUUGUAAGGAGCACGACCUCGCCAGCAGGAUCCGCAACCUCAAGGCCCGCGUCGAGGACGUCGGUGAGAGGCGGGAGCGCUACCAACUCAGCAUCCCCACGCUCUAGGAACAGGAAGGGACGCCGCCGGCCGAGGCCCAAGCUAGCCAGGACAAGAUCGACGAGGCGAGAGAAGAAUUUGUACGUGCGUUGGCACGUGACAAACAGCAGAAGAAGAAGGAGCUCGUCCCAUGCUUUGACGAGGCCAUCCAUCUCCUCCUUGUUAAGGAUCUUCAAUCGGCAGCCACCAAAGUACGUGACUGCCUCCGUAAAAAUCUGCCGCAUGAGGAGAGUGCGGCCGUCUGCAUGGAGAUGCUGCUCCGUGCUCUCCGGGAUCAUAGCCAAGCCCGCCCGGCGGUCCAAAAGACCAAGAAAGAACUGAUGAAAUUAGUGGAUGAAGCGGACACGGACAUCCAAGAUUUUCCCACUCAAGUCAUGAUCUUCUGCUACAGCAAGCUGUCCAGGAGCUACAAGAGCUGCUUGCAGUAUCUCUAUGCCUUCCGCCAUGAAGCCGCCAUCAGCAGGACGAGCUUGGUCAGGCGAUGGCUCGCCGAAGGCCGCGUGGAGAAGCAAGCAGGUUUUGAUGGUACCCUCGAGGAGGCAGCGGAGCUCUGCUUCAAAGAUCUCCUCUUCCGGGGGUUCCUUCUUCCUGUCGACGACCCAGCCUCCGCUUCCCGCAAGGUCAAGACCUUCACAAUUGAUGACACCGUCUGGCGCUUCCUCUAUCGCAUGUCCACAACGGAGAACUUUGUGGACAACCUGCCGACUCACCUCGAAAACCAGCUUCGCAUCCGGAAAUUUGUGAAACGGCAAGAGGAGGAAGACUCACCUCGACCACGCCACCCGUGGAGCAUCUGUGGCCGUUGGACGACGACUCCGUCGGAUAACAGAAUGGUGGCAGAUCCUGAUCCCAUGGAUGCCAUGAUAAACUUCCUCAAGUCUCUCGACCAAACCUACCGGCUAAAUGUGCUGGAUCUUGGGGGUUGCAAGGGUCUGAAGAAGAGCCACCUCAAGAGCAUCUGCAAGGUGGUCUCGCUCAAGUACCUCAGCCUCAGGAACACGGACGUCUCCCACCUGCCCGAGGAGAUAAACAAUCUCAUACUGCUGGAGACGCUCGACAUCCGGCAAACUAAGGUAUGGGGCCCAGACAUGAAGCACAUUUACCUCCGAAAGCUAAAGCACCUGCUCACCGGCCCGAAGAUGACCACGGAGGAGGAGACGAUCCGCGGGGCAGGGAUGCCUCGCUUGAUCGGAAAGAUGGAAGACAUGGAGAUACUGUCCCGGGUCCAGGUUCAACACGGCAUGAAGGAACUCGAAGAAGUUGCCCGCCUGCUGAAGCUUAGGAAGCUGGGCGUGGUUCUCAUUGGCAGCCAAAGCCAAGCUCAAGACAACAUGGCCAGUAUGCUCCGAGCAAUGACCAAGCUGAGAGAUUGCUUACGCUCUCUCUCAAUAUGGGUCACUCCGCCACCCACAAAUGGGGACCCUAGUGUCACUGUGAAUAUGGUGAUGACACAAGAUUAUGCCCCCAAGUUACUGGAGAGCCUGGAUAUCAGGGGCGUGCGCUUUCUCAACACCGGGUUGCCUCACUGGAUCUGGGCGCUGCAAGAACUCUGUGAGAUUACACUGUGUGACACCUUUCUGUCUAAAGUCUCUCUGCAGGACCUUGGCAACAAGCUCCAUCACUUGCGCCGCCUUCGGCUCCUUCGCAACUCGUACAACGAGCCAAAGCUCACUUUCAGUACUGAUGGGUUCCAAGAGCUCAGGUUCCUCAUCGUCGAGGGCAACACCAUCACCACAGUCAGCAUUGAACAAGGUGGCGCAGCCCCUUUGCUCAAGAAGAUCGUUUGGCACAACAUGGCUAUCAAUCAGGCGGGCAAACUUUCUGGAAUUCACCACCUUAAGAGGCUGCAAGAGGUGGUGCUCAAGGGCAACUUCACCGACCCGAGCUCCAUUCCACACAACGAUGGGUGCAAAAUAACCGAGGCAUGA